AUUGAACGCUGGCGGCAGGCCUAACACAUGCAAGUCGAGCGGAUGAAGGGAGCUUGCUCCUGGAUUCAGCGGCGGACGGGUGAGUAAUGCCUAGGAAUCUGCCUGGUAGUGGGGGAUAACGUCCGGAAACGGGCGCUAAUACCGCAUACGUCCUGAGGGAGAAAGUGGGGGAUCUUCGGACCUCACGCUAUCUGAUGAGCCUAGGUCGGAUUAGCUAGUUGGUGGGGUAAAGGCCUACCAAGGCGACGAUCCGUAACUGGUCUGAGAGGAUGAUCUGUCACACUGGAACUGAGACACGGUCCAGACUCCUACGGGAGGCAGCAGUGGGGAAUAUUGGACAAUGGGCGAAAGCCUGAUCCAGCCAUGCCGCGUGUGUGAAGAAGGUCUUCGGAUUGUAAAGCACUUUAAGUUGGGAGGAAGAGCAGUAAGUUAAUACCUUGCUGUUUUGACGGUACCAACAGAGUAAGCACCGGCUAACUACGUG
This 484-nucleotide ribosomal RNA is filed under the name uncultured bacterium. RNAcentral describes it as "partial 16S ribosomal RNA". It matches the Rfam family "Bacterial small subunit ribosomal RNA", at positions 30 to 507 of the family's 1533-position model. The record is from RNAcentral.